GCCCAGGUGGUGAAAUUGGUAGACACGCUACUUUGAGGGGGUAGUGGGCGUUUAGCCCGUGUGAGUUCGAGUCUCGUCCUGGGCA
RNAcentral lists this transfer RNA (85 nucleotides) under Rikenellaceae bacterium. RNAcentral describes it as "tRNA-Leu". It matches the Rfam family "tRNA". From Rfam's summary of the family: Transfer RNA (tRNA) molecules are approximately 80 nucleotides in length. Their secondary structure includes four short double-helical elements and three loops (D, anti-codon, and T loops). Further hydrogen bonds mediate the characteristic L-shaped molecular structure. tRNAs have two regions of fundamental functional importance: the anti-codon, which is responsible for specific mRNA codon recognition, and the 3' end, to which the tRNAs corresponding amino acid is attached (by aminoacyl-tRNA synthetases). tRNAs cope with the degeneracy of the genetic code in two manners: having more than one tRNA (with a specific anti-codon) for a particular amino acid; and 'wobble' base-pairing, i.e. permitting non-standard base-pairing at the 3rd anti-codon position. Lineage: Bacteria; Pseudomonadati; Bacteroidota; Bacteroidia; Bacteroidales; Rikenellaceae. The record is from RNAcentral.